This 222-nucleotide long non-coding RNA is filed under the name Elaeis guineensis (African oil palm). RNAcentral's name for it is "long non-coding RNA (EGUI_LNC002600)". Lineage: Eukaryota; Viridiplantae; Streptophyta; Magnoliopsida; Arecales; Arecaceae. The record is from RNAcentral.
CAGCCUCUCUAUCUUAUUAUUCUUCCUCUACCACUAAAUCUCCUAUAAAUUAUCACCACCUUCUUGAUCAUAUUUUCUAUUUUGAUACUGGAUCUUGUAUUGAUACCAUCCUAUUACAGUAUCAAUAUAUGAUUCGAUACAGUAUGAUAUGAUAUACCAAAUAUUGGUAUGGUAAGAGAUACUGUAUCAAUACGAGAUCGAUAUAAUAUAGAGUAUACUAGA